RNAcentral lists this ribosomal RNA (253 nucleotides) under uncultured bacterium. RNAcentral's name for it is "partial 16S ribosomal RNA". It matches the Rfam family "Bacterial small subunit ribosomal RNA", at positions 524 to 776 of the family's 1533-position model. The record is from RNAcentral.
GACAGAGGUGCCGAGCGUUAGGCGGAAUCACUGGGCUUAAAGCGUGUGUAGGCGGACCGUUAAGUGUCUUGUGAAAUCCCCCGGCUCAACCGGGGAACGGCUGGGCAUACUGGCGGUCUUGAGAGGCCUAGGGGCGAGCGGAACAGGCGGUGGAGCGGUGAAAUGCGUAGAUAUCGCCUGGAACGCCGACGGUGAAAACAGCUCGCUGGGGGCCUUCUGACGCUGAGACACGAAAGCCAGGGGAGCGAACGGG